GUCACCUAAUCUCAGCUCUUGUAGCACUCUUGUCUCCUUGGAAAUACACCCGUCAGCUCCCUGUGGAAACCUCCAGCCAGGCUUGCCCAGCUCAUCGCCUGUUCUCACCCCCUCCGUGACUCAGUUCACAUAUAAUACAAAGACAUCCAAAGACUGUCCUUCAAGUAGCCUGGAGAUUUAUUCCUGAAGACUACUUUAAGAAAUGACAAGCAAGCUGGCUGAGAGAGUUCAUGCUGCGUCGAAUAAAGGCGGUCAUAUCAAACUGGGGAGUACGAAGAAAUGGGAGAUUCAAGACUUUUGCAGAGUACUGUAAGGCACUCACGCCCCCAAAUCAUUUUGUUUUCCAACUUUACCUCCAAUUGUUAAAGAGAAAAUUGCCGUGGAGCCUGAAAUCAGCUCAACUACUGAGUUUUAAUUAUAUGAAAAUGCAAGCUGGCUCUGGGACGAGAAGAAAACAGAAAUUUUAUUCUCAAAAUACAAAAACACAUGACAUUACAUAUGUGUCUGGAUAUACUGUACUGUAUAUUUAGUGAUAUGUGAAGGCAAUCCCCAACACUGUGCACUGUUCACAAACCAGGAAAGUAAGCCAGGGUCAUUUAGGGGUGAUUAACAAAUCGAAGCUGCGUUAUACUCUGCACGGGGUGUAAGCAUGAGUCAUUCCUGAGGUCAGCGUGUGAGCUUAUGUGCGCUUUUUUUAUUAUAUUGUGUGAGAAAAUGGAGCCGGCAUCAAAGGUAAGCCAGCCCCCGCACAGCCCACUGCAUGGUGGUUUGCCAAAACGUCUCAGUAAGCAGCGAUGACCUCUACCCGUGCAUCAGACGGAGGCUGAAAUUUUCUAACAAAGGUUCAGUAAACAUGUCGGGAGAGUCAGAUAUGACAUCCUUUACGUCUAGUUUAGCAUUUGCAAUAAUUGGCCUCUUGAUAGUAAACACUGGUUUAAAUGUGAAAUGUGUGACCAAAUGCUCAUGCUAUGCUAGACUGCAUGCCACAACAAAUAAAUCAUGUUCUGCUGGGACAAUAAUAGGAGAGGGGGGUUGCUAGCUAAAAGGCGAACGGGGAACAAACCACUGCAUGUGAUGAACUGCAAAAACAAAUGGAGGAAAAGCGUGAAAAUGAAGAGGAAAGUGAGAAUAAUUGCAAGCUGAGACUGAAAGUGCUGUGUCUGUUCAUUAAGGCAGAUAGAUUCUGGUCCUCCUGCAUCUGCCGGCUUUAUGCUGUCAUCGCUUAAUGGGGAAUACCUCGUCUUCUUCUCCUUUUUGUGUUUCUCUACUCGGGCAUGUCGGCUGUUGGGUUUUUGUGCUUGGAUCAGCAGAAAUGAAACCAUGCAAGAAGGAAAAGAAAGGCAGACCAACAAAAAGGCCUUAUAUAUAUUAACUGAACAGAGUAUGGAAGCCCAUUAUGGCCAUUAAUAAAAAUGCAGAGAAAAAAGUUUUUCAUCA
Molecule: long non-coding RNA, 1437 nt
Organism: Oreochromis aureus
Lineage: Eukaryota; Metazoa; Chordata; Actinopteri; Cichliformes; Cichlidae
Exons: 3
Source: RefSeq, a predicted model, not a curated record